This 323-nucleotide long non-coding RNA is filed under the name Phoenix dactylifera (date palm). RNAcentral's name for it is "long non-coding RNA (PDAC_LNC011038)". Lineage: Eukaryota; Viridiplantae; Streptophyta; Magnoliopsida; Arecales; Arecaceae. The record is from RNAcentral.
GGGGAAUCCGAAAGAAGAUUUGCUGGCUUGGACACACGGGAGAAGCAGAUGUUGACAUGUAUCGCGGGAGAUAAUCAGGAGGUGAGGCGCAACUGAAGGAUGGUUGCUUGAUUUGAUCCUCACGGCCAGUUUGGAAUCCAUUGAUGCUCGAGAUGAAGCUCCUGUUCUGUUUCCGUGAAGUCUGGGAAGUGAUUAACUCGAAAGAUGAGCUGCUGCCAUUUCACAGAAGAAGAUCUUGGAUGCGGGAGAUCACUUGCAGUUGGCUGGGAUCAAACAUGGACGUGGAGGGAACUUGGACGCGGCUGAAUGCUGGGAUUUAGCUG